This 632-nucleotide long non-coding RNA is filed under the name Triticum aestivum (bread wheat). RNAcentral describes it as "long non-coding RNA (TAES_LNC020545)". The record is from RNAcentral. Lineage: Eukaryota; Viridiplantae; Streptophyta; Magnoliopsida; Poales; Poaceae.
ACACAAGUUACCUAUGGUAAUUUUAUUUCGGUGGUAGCACUUGCAUCUUUCUACAUACACUAACCUACAGCAUAUUGAGCAUAAUGUUGUACAGCUAUGACUACUAUACAAAGCUGGCGCAUUUUAUCCAUAUGGAACGAAAUAGACCAAAACAACCCAGUGCUUUAACAUGCAGGCUCAUCUUUAACUAUACAAACUUUUCAUAUAUAAACUUAUAGCCAGUAAAUAUCAUCAUUAAAUGUUGUAUUGCUCUAUCAUUGCAUCAGCAGAAGAUUAUUCACAGUGGCAUUCACAUUAUUCGUUCUCAUCAGGUCCUGCAACAAGGUUGAAAAGGAAAAAACAUUAGUGCAUACUAGCGUCUAGAGAAAUUACAACAAGAGGCUAGCAAAAACAGAAACGUACUUCAAUAAUUAGCUCGUCAGGCAUAUGGGGUAAAACUUCCCGUACUCUAUCUACCAUGGUAUUAACCCGCGACAUGCUUCCAUUAAUUGUUCCUGCCGUGCCUCGGAACCGCAAGCUAGCAGAAGCCACAUCAGGCCUCGAGGAAGAUGAUGGAACAAUUGAAGGGCCUGCCAUUGACUCAGGCCACAGAUUCCAGGUGGCAUCUGCAUGCCCAUAAUUAUCAGUCACAG